RNAcentral lists this ribosomal RNA (279 nucleotides) under uncultured bacterium. RNAcentral's name for it is "partial 16S ribosomal RNA". It matches the Rfam family "Bacterial small subunit ribosomal RNA", at positions 506 to 784 of the family's 1533-position model. The record is from RNAcentral.
UGCCAGCAGCCGCGGUAAUACGGAGGGUGCGAGCGUUGUUCGGAAUUACUGGGCGUAAAGCGCGUGUAGGCGGUCUCCUAAGUCUGGUGUGAAAUCCCAGGGCUCACCCCUGGAAGUGCAUUGGAUACUGGGAGACUAGAGUACCGGAGAGGAGGGUGGAAUUCCUGGUGUAGCGGUGAAAUGCGUAGAUAUCAGGAGGAACACCGGUGGCGAAGGCGGCCCUCUGGACGGAUACUGACGCUGAGACGCGAAAGCGUGGGGAGCAAACAGGAUUAGAUA